Long non-coding RNA from Felis catus (domestic cat), 1691 nucleotides. RefSeq lists it as uncharacterized. The record is from RefSeq and is a predicted model, not a curated record. The transcript has 3 exons. NCBI's taxonomy places the organism in Eukaryota, Metazoa, Chordata, Mammalia, Carnivora, Felidae.
CAAAACUAAGUCCUUGUUCCAGCAGGGAUGGACAGUCAACCAAUAAAUCAUCUUUGAGUGACAGUAAUAAAUACUAUGGAGAAAAAUAAAGCUGGGUAAGAGAGAUAGGGGGUGAACGGAGGUAUUCAGACUUUCAUUUUAGAGCUUAAAGGAUCAGUUGAAGUGUUGGCAGUUGCAAAGACCAGCAGUUAGUGGGAAAUAAGGAAAACAGUGUGUAUCAGCAGGGUUCAGUUGCAGGAAACAGAAACCACUCUAGCUAUUUUAGGCAGAAAGGCAAUGAACAGAGAGAAGCAGGUGUUUACUGCAUUGUUUGGAAAGCUGGAGGAGCUGACUUGGUUCCAUAGCUGCCACUGCUGUGAAGCUCGGAGAUCAGGAGGCCGCCGCUGUAAGGAAUGACUGAGAACACACUGCUGUCCCUGAAAUGUGAGAAGUAAGAAGUGCCUGUCACCCCCCUUCUGACUAUCUCUUAGCACUCAUUAAAUUAGUGACCAAAAGCCCCCGUGUCUCCACAAUCGUGUUUGCCAGUGGUUCCAGCGAAAUCAACGGCAAGGUGGAUUUUGCUUCAAUUCUGACUUCCAGCCUCACGCAAAUGCGUAUAAUUAGUCGACCCUAAUUCACAAUUAGAAAUCCAGCUGCAAGAAAGACUAGGAAACAUGGUUCUAGAUUUCCAACCUCUGUGUUAGAAAAAGACACACGAGAAGGAAUUGGGAAUGAGCCUAUUCAGGACAUCCAUACAUCUCCAGGAAACCACUCUUUGCCAAGAAGACCAAAGGAAGUAGAAAAUCCAAGACUUUAAAUCCAACAGGAGCACAAGAAUACCACCCGUAGCCCAUGACGUCAGCAUGAGAAGAGACAGAAUACCCCAAACUUCAAAUUACCAACAAGGCGAGAAAUGAAGGCUGUAUCCCAAGAGAGCUCCUAUCACUUGUCACUAUAAGCUGGGUCAGCACGUGGGCAGCUUAACAUACACGAAGCUUUCAGACACCUGUGUCUCAGGAUCAGUGACUCCUUUAAGUCUCCAGAUCUCCUGAAGGGGUGUCUGUUGCUCGUGCUCAGGCGGAUCACUCAGUGUGCCCGUCAGCUGUGCCCUGCGGUCUGUGCUGUGGCCUGUGAGAUGGAUGCCAGCAUCACAUUGCCACUCAGCAAGGUCAGUGACAAACAUGGGAAACUACAGGGUGGUCGUACGUGAAAUACGUGCAGAAAACAAAAGCUGAGCGUGGCUUCCGUAGCACAAAUACAAAAUGCCCCGAAUGCUUUUCCCGCAGUGGUUUUGUCGUUCGCUGUAUGGUCUGAAUCCACAACUAUUCAUUCUGAUAUUUAGUAAUUCCUUUUUUUUGUUUGUUUGUUUGAUAAAUAAACAAUGUGGGGAACAAUAUACUUUUUUAAAAAGUAUGUGCUUAGUGAAAAAAAUGAUUACUAUCUUUUUGAUUCUUGGGGAAGUUAUGAUGAACAUGUAAUUUACACUAAAUUUUUGUGACAUUCACCAUCCAGCCAGGGACUGGCCACAAGGAAACCUGUGGACAAAAUCUACUAAAGGACUGUCAGCAUCUAUUUUAGAAGUUAGUGGUUAUUUUAAGAAGAUUGUAGGGGCACCUGGGUGGCUCAGUCGGUUAAGCGUCCAACAUCAUCAGCUCAGGUGAUGAUCUCGCGGUUUUUGAGUUUGAGCCCCGCGUCAAGCUCUGUGCUGACAG